RNAcentral lists this ribosomal RNA (440 nucleotides) under uncultured bacterium. Its description in RNAcentral is "partial 16S ribosomal RNA". It matches the Rfam family "Bacterial small subunit ribosomal RNA", at positions 338 to 795 of the family's 1533-position model. The record is from RNAcentral.
CCUACGGGAGGCAGCAGUGGGGAAUAUUGCACAAUGGGGGAAACCCUGAUGCAGCGACGCCGCGUGAAGGAAGAAGGAUUUCGGGAUGUAAACUUCUAUCAGCAGGGAAGAAAAUGACGGUACCUGACGAAGAAGCCCCGGCUAACUACGUGCCAGCAGCCGCGGUAAUACGUAGGGGGCAAGCGUUAUCCGGAUUUACUGGGUGUAAAGGGAGCGUAGGUGGUGAUGCAAGUCAGAAGUGAAAGCCCGCAGCUCAACUGCGGGACUGCUUUUGAAACUGUAUGACUAGAUUGCAGGAGAGGUAAGUGGAAUUCCUAGUGUAGCGGUGAAAUGCGUAGAUAUUAGGAGGAACACCAGUGGCGAAGGCGGCUCACUGGACUGUAAAUGACGCUGAGGCUCGAAAGCGUGGGUAGCAAACAGGAUUAGAUACCCUUGUAGUC